Carassius gibelio (silver crucian carp) is the source of this 2732-nucleotide long non-coding RNA. RefSeq lists it as uncharacterized. Lineage: Eukaryota; Metazoa; Chordata; Actinopteri; Cypriniformes; Cyprinidae. The transcript is spliced from 6 exons. The record is from RefSeq and is a predicted model, not a curated record.
UCUUGUUUUCCUCGCAUCCAGACUGCGGCUGACAGCAGUUCCACAAUAUUGGUGAGUAACUAUACAAAAAAGCUUUAAUUUACUGUAACUGCAUCUGAUAAAUAUGUAAUGUUAUAUGGUGCUUUUGAAUAAGUUUACUGUUUUAUGGGUGUGUUUUGUUAUAUGUACAUACACCCACGCAUCUUUAAUUGGGCGGAUUGCAUGAAGUUACUGACACGUUAGAGUGAUCAAAGAAGCAUGGAUCAAUGAAAAAUUAAGAGCUUGAUUAUUUUAAAACCGCUAUUAGCCGCGAAACAGAACUGAAAUCGUUAAUCCCACAACAGCUUUCUGUGCUUGUACACUGGAGGCACGCGCACGAGACCCACAGCGUCAGUACUGUCUCCUGACGUUUGAAUAGUAAAAUAUAUACACAAAAUAUGUCGUAAAUUUCCGUCUUAAUGAGCUUAAAUAUAACACAGUGACUUAUGAAUUAAGAGAGUGUAAACUUUUGGGAGUACAUUAGAUUUGAGUCAAUACACUGAGAAAAGGUGCACAAGGCAUGUCAUUACUCUAAAGAACUCAAAACAUUACAUUUUCUGUCUAGCCAUCAGUGUUAUGUAAAUAUUUGGUCAAUUUAAAAUUAAAAUAAUGUAUUGUUAGUGUAAAGUAUACAUUUCUGUAAAUUGAAAUUUAAAAUAUUGGUUCCCAUUGUCACGUGAUUUAUAACGUAAUCCAUGGUCAUGCGUGAGAACGUUCAGCAUUCUGCCAUCUUGUUAAACCGCAUGGAUGAACUCGGCGUGGUAAAACGUGAAUAAAGAAAAUUGGACGGGGUACUGCUGAACAACAAUUAGGACAGGUUUUGAAUAAUCCAGUCACAUGAAAAACUAACUCAAUGUGGAAAUGCAAAGAUUGUGGUGUCUCCACAGCCAAGCGUUCUGAGCUUCUCAAACAUUUUAAGCUUGAUCAUAGGAAUUUUGGACAUCGUCAUCCUUAUCCUUGCGUUUAUUCAGACUGUCCUUGUUCAUUUAAAACUUGGAGUUCUCUGAAGAGCCAUGUGUCAAGGAGGCAUCCUCAGCAUCCCUCUCAAAAAGAUGAAUUGACAACUUAUAAAUGCUUGCUUUGUGAAUACAAACACACAUCAUCAUUUAAAGACUAUUUCCAUCAUAUUGGGCAGCACCUGAAAAAUAAUGAAACUGUUCCUUGUGUCUUUAGUGACAGUUGAAAGGUCUCGGAUGCCCUGAGUAUUUGGUAAAUUCUCUGAAAACCAAAGCCUCAGGCCAUGCUUUUCCAGCAAAAAAUGUUAAACGACCUAAACAUGGUGAGGCCAAUCAUAUCCCAUCCCUACCUAUUGGAGAGACAAGAGAUUGUGGAAAACCAACCUAGUGUUCAAGAUCUGCAAGAAAGAUGGCCAGCUCUGUUUCAACAAGAGGAGAUUAAUUUUUUCGCAUCACAACCUUACCUUUACAAUCAAGAUUUAUGGCCUCUUUGGACAGACAGCUCUCAGCUUCUCCAGGUUAUUAGGAGCAAAGGUGGAGCCCUCCGUGAAAAAACCAAGGACACUAUUAAAGUUAUGGAUCAGAGUUUGGACAUAGACAUCAGAAGAGAGUGCCUGCUGAAGUGCCUGAUCACAUAACUUGGUAAAGAUGCAAGCUGUCUGAUCAAAGAAUACCAGGCUGACCAGAGGGAGGAAGCAGAGAGAGAAUUUGAAAAGACCACCAUGGCGUUUUUUGUGAUCCGUGAAACUGAUGCUAGUCGUGCACUGGACAUUUCCAUUGUCAUUGACGGUGUGGAAGUACUCAAUGUGUUGCCCUCUGUUGCAUGUGCCUGUGCCAUGAUGUUUGGACUCAUUUAUGCACUGAACUUAAAAUAUCCUGAAGGACUCAAAUACACCUUUGAGGCCUUUCAAAAAAGAAUCAUGGACAUAGAGAGUAAGCAGAUGAGCCGAAGGGUGCAGAACCUCUCUUCAAAGCUGCAGGAAUGAAUUUGUUUCCUUUGACUCAGCUACAGUGUUCUUCUGAUGAUAUGUUUCUUUGAAGAUGUUGGACCGUAUAAAUCCUUUUAUACAAAGUUAACUGUACUACUGUUUACUAAACCGGAUUUGUUUUAUCUUGGUUAAAUUGUGUUUUAUCUAGGGUCAAUUAAAUAGAUUUCCCAAAAAUAAAAAUUCUUACGUUGUUUAAUCAUCCUUAAGCUAUUCAAGUAUUUAACUUUACAUUUGGUUCAGAGACAUUUCGACAAUUAUGAGAGAAGUUUCAUUUUUGGGUAAACUAUUCCAUGAAGGUGAAAAUUUAUUUUUAAAUUUCAAUUUAUUUUUUUAUUUCUACCAUUGGCUAAUUUGGUAGGUGUUUUAUUAAAAGUGUUUUGUUUUACACUGCCCAAUUUAAAGCAGUUUUUGGGCCAAACUUGUUUUAACUUCUAAAGGUUUGAUUUGUGUAGUCAGUUCUGAUUGACAGUUCAUGGAAAUGAUUACAGAAUUUUAAAUGUUUGAUUGUGUAGUCAGAUCUGAACAGACUGUUCAUGGAAAGAUUGUAUGUUUCUCUUUGAAACCAUAACUGAUUCUUAUGGUGAAUUUACAUUGUAUCCAGUGUGUCAAUGCACAAUGUGUUUUUAUAAAAAUUCUGUACACAUUGUAGAAAUGUUUUAUGACAAAAAUUGUCAAGUUUAUGAUGUGUUUAUAUUGUUAGUGUGUAUUUGUAUCAGGAUACUGAACACAUUGUAAAAAAAAAAAAAAAAAAUUGUAUUAUGACAAAAUA